Molecule: non-coding RNA, 152 nt
Filed under: human gut metagenome
Source: RNAcentral
UUGCAGCGUAUUUGGUGAAGGGAAACAGGUGGAAGUCCUGUACAGACCCGCUGCUGUAAGUUGCAAUCCGCAGUCCGUUUCUAUGACCACUGCCCUUUGGGGUGGGAAGGUCGGGCAAAGGAGCAAUAAGUCAGAAGACCUGCCAGAUAUGC